This 410-nucleotide ribosomal RNA is filed under the name uncultured bacterium. RNAcentral's name for it is "bacterial SSU rRNA". It matches the Rfam family "Bacterial small subunit ribosomal RNA", at positions 508 to 920 of the family's 1533-position model. The record is from RNAcentral.
UCAGCAGCCGCGGUAAUACGUAGGACGCAAGCGUUAUCCGGAUUCAUUGGGUUUAAAGGGUGCGUAGGCGGGCCUUUAAGUCAGUGGUGAAAGUUUGCCGCUUAACGGUAAGAUUGCCAUUGAUACUGGAGGCCUUGAGUGCAGAUGAGGUAGGCGGAAUGUGUAGUGUAGUGGUGAAAUACUUAGAUAUUACACAGAACACCGAUUGCGAAGGCAGCUUACUAAAUUGCAACUGACGCUGAGGCACGAAAGCGUGGGGAUCAAACAGGAUUAGAUACCCUGGUAGUCCACGCCGUAAACGAUGAUAACUGGUUGUUGGCGAUACAUUGUCAGCGACUGAGCGAAAGCAUUAAGUUAUCCACCUGGGGAGUACGUCGGCAACGAUGAAACUUAAAGGAAUUGGCGGGGGA